UGGCCAGACUCCUACGGGAGGCAGCAGUGGGGAAUAUUGCACAAUGGGCGAAAGCCUGAUGCAGCAACGCCGCGUGAAGGAAGAAGGCCUUCGGGUCGUAAACUUCUGUCCUUGGGGAAGAAGAACUGACGGUACCCAAGGAGGAAGCCCCGGCUAACUACGUGCCAGCAGCCGCGGUAAUACAUAGGGAGCAAGCGUUAUCCGGAUUUAUUGGGUGUAAAGGGUGCGUAGACGGGAAAUUAAGUUAGUUGUGAAAUCCCUCGGCUUAACUGAGGAACUGCAACUAAAACUGAUUUUCUUGAGUACUGGAGAGGAAAGUGGAAUUCCUAGUGUAGCGGUGAAAUGCGUAGAUAUUAGGAGGAACACCAGUGGCGAAGGCGACUUUCUGGACAGUAACUGACGUUGAGGCACGAAAGUGUGGGGAGCAAACAGGAUUAGAUACCCUAGUAGA
This 451-nucleotide ribosomal RNA is filed under the name uncultured bacterium. RNAcentral's name for it is "bacterial SSU rRNA". It matches the Rfam family "Bacterial small subunit ribosomal RNA", at positions 328 to 794 of the family's 1533-position model. The record is from RNAcentral.